GACGAACGCUGGCGGCGUGCCUAAUACAUGCAAGUCGAGCGAAGUUUUUCUGGUGCUUGCACUAGAAAAACUUAGCGGCGAACGGGUGAGUAACACGUAAAGAACCUGCCUCAUAGACUGGGACAACUAUUGGAAACGAUAGCUAAUACCGGAUAACAGUAUUUCUCGCAUGGGAGAUAUUUAAAAGUUGGUUAUGCUAACACUAUGAGAUGGCUUUGCUGUGCAUUAGCUAGUUGGUGGGGUAAAGGCCCACCAAGGCGACGAUGCAUAGCCGACCUGAGAGGGUGAUCGGCCACACUGGGACUGAGACACGGCCCAGACUCCUACGGGAGGCAGCAGUAGGGAAUCUUCCGCAAUGGGCGAAAGCCUGACGGAGCAACGCCGCGUGAGUGAAGAAGGAUUUCGGUUCGUAAAGCUCUGUUGUUAGGGAAGAAUGGAUAUGUAGUAACUAUACAUGUAAGAGACGGUACCUAACCAGAAAGCCACGGCUAACUACGUG
RNAcentral lists this ribosomal RNA (499 nucleotides) under uncultured bacterium. RNAcentral describes it as "partial 16S ribosomal RNA". It matches the Rfam family "Bacterial small subunit ribosomal RNA", at positions 28 to 507 of the family's 1533-position model. The record is from RNAcentral.